GGAAUAUUGGGCAAUGGGCGCAAGCCUGACCCAGCGACGCCGCGUGAGGGAUGAAGGUCUUCGGAUUGUAAACCUCUUUCAGUAGGGAAGAAGCGAAAGUGACGGUACCUAAAGAAGAGGCACCGGCUAACUAUGUGCCAGCAGCCGCGGUAAUACAUAGGGUGCAAGCGUUGUCCGGAAUUAUUGGGCGUAAAGAGCUCGUAGGUCGUUUGUCGCGUCGAUUGUGAAAAUCUGAGGCUCAACCUCAGACCUGCAGUCGAUACGGGCAAACUAGAGUGUGGUAGGGGAGACUGGAAUUCCUGGUGUAGCGGUGGAAUGCGCAGAUAUCAGGAGGAACACCAAUGGCGAAGGCAGGUCUCUGGGCCAUAACUGACACUGAGGAGCGAAAGUGCGGGGAGCGAACAGGAUUAGAUACCCUGGUAGUCCGCACCGUAAACGGUGGGCACUAGUUGUGGGAACCUUCCACGGUUUCCGCGACGCAGCAAACGCAUUAAGUGCCCCGCCUGGGGAGUACGAUCGCAAGAUUAAAACUCAAAGGAAUUGACGG
Molecule: ribosomal RNA, 547 nt
Filed under: uncultured bacterium
Lineage: Bacteria
Description: bacterial SSU rRNA
Rfam family: Bacterial small subunit ribosomal RNA
Source: RNAcentral